GUGACACUAUCAUCCAAAUUGCAGACUUCUCAACUUUCUCAUGGAAUGCAAGAAUCUGAUACACCACUACAUUGAAUAGUACAAGACAAUUUGCUUUCUUUAUUUUCAUCUUCUGCAUGUUUGUAAUUCUUUGCUUUCCUUUCCAGUAAGAUGCAAAGCAUGUGAAUGUCCUUGAUUUAUGAGUAUGUCUAUAUCAAAGUAGAUAAUAGACAGUGGACUAGCGGUUGAA
This 229-nucleotide long non-coding RNA is filed under the name Ricinus communis (castor bean). Its description in RNAcentral is "long non-coding RNA (RCOM_LNC000074)". The record is from RNAcentral. Lineage: Eukaryota; Viridiplantae; Streptophyta; Magnoliopsida; Malpighiales; Euphorbiaceae.